UCCUCCUCCGAGUAGCCAGCCCCGUGGAUGAUGCGCAUCUGCUUAAUGAAUGUGCUCUUCCCACUCUCACCUGUGCCUAGCAGGAGCGCUUGAGCUC
Molecule: long non-coding RNA, 97 nt
Organism: Myotis brandtii (Brandt's bat)
Lineage: Eukaryota; Metazoa; Chordata; Mammalia; Chiroptera; Vespertilionidae
Exons: 3
Source: RefSeq, a predicted model, not a curated record